Molecule: ribosomal RNA, 559 nt
Filed under: uncultured Glomus
Lineage: Eukaryota; Fungi; Glomeromycota; Glomeromycetes; Glomerales; Glomeraceae
Description: SSU rRNA
Rfam family: Eukaryotic small subunit ribosomal RNA
Source: RNAcentral
AAUUGGAGGGCAAGUCUGGUGCCAGCAGCCGCGGUAAUUCCAGCUCCAAUAGCGUAUAUUAAAGUUGUUGCAGUUAAAAAGCUCGUAGUUGAAUUUCGGGGUCAGUAGAUUGGUCGUGCCACUGGUAUGUACUGGUCUUACUGGCUCCUCCUUCCUGAUGAACCGUAAUGCCAUUAAUUUGGUGUUGCGGGGAGACUGGACUGUUACUUUGAAAAAAUUAGAGUGUUUAAAGCAGGCUAACGCUUGAAUACAUUAGCAUGGAAUAAUGAAAUAGGACGUUCGAUCCUAUUUUGUUGGUUUCUAGGAUUGACGUAAUGAUUAAUAGGGAUAGUUGGGGGCAUUAGUAUUCAAUUGUCAGAGGUGAAAUUCUUGGAUUUAUUGAAGACUAACUACUGCGAAAGCAUUUGCCAAGGAUGUUUUCAUUAAUCAAGAACGAAAGUUAGGGGAUCGAAGACGAUCAGAUACCGUCGUAGUCUUAACCAUAAACUAUGCCGACUAGGGAUCGGAUGAUGUUAAUUUUUUAAUGACUCAUUCGGCGCCUUACGGGAAACCAAAGUGU